This 253-nucleotide ribosomal RNA is filed under the name uncultured bacterium. RNAcentral describes it as "partial 16S ribosomal RNA". It matches the Rfam family "Bacterial small subunit ribosomal RNA", at positions 524 to 776 of the family's 1533-position model. The record is from RNAcentral.
UACGUAGGGAGCAAGCGUUGUCCGGAAUCAUUGGGCGUAAAGCGCGCGUAGGCGGCCCUGUAAGUCCGCUGUGAAAGUCAAAGGCUCAACCUUUGAAAGCCGGUGGAUACUGCAGGGCUAGAGUCCGGAAGAGGCGAGUGGAAUCCCUGGUGUAGCGGUGGAAUGCGCAGAUAUCAGGAGGAACACCGGUGGCGAAGGCGGGUCUCUGGGCCGACAUUGACGCUGAGGAGCGAAAGCGUGGGGAGCAAACAGG